UACGGAGGAUGCGAGCGUUAUCCGGAUUUAUUGGGUUUAAAGGGAGCGUAGGUGGAUUGUUAAGUCAGUUGUGAAAGCCUUCGGCUCAACCGGAGAAUUGCAUCAGAAACUGUUGAACUUGAGUGCAGAAGAGGAGAGUGGAACUCCAUGUGUAGCGGUGGAAUGCGUAGAUAUAUGGAAGAACACCAGUGGCGAAGGCGGCUUCCUGGUCUGCAACUGACACUGAGGCGCGAAAGCGUGGGGAGCAAACAGG
RNAcentral lists this ribosomal RNA (253 nucleotides) under uncultured Lactobacillus sp. RNAcentral describes it as "partial 16S ribosomal RNA". It matches the Rfam family "Bacterial small subunit ribosomal RNA", at positions 524 to 776 of the family's 1533-position model. The record is from RNAcentral. Lineage: Bacteria; Bacillati; Bacillota; Bacilli; Lactobacillales; Lactobacillaceae.